GCUGGCGGCAGGCUUAACACAUGCAAGUCGAACGGUAGCAGAAGGAAGCUUGCUUUCUUGCUGACGAGUGGCGGACGGGUGAGUAAUGCUUGGGAAUCUGGCUUAUGGAGGGGGAUAACUACUGGAAACGGUAGCUAAUACCGCGUAAUAUCGAGAGAUUAAAGGGUGGGACUUUCGGGCCACCUGCCAUAAGAUGAGCCCAAGUGGGAUUAGGUAGUUGGUGGGGUAAAGGCCUACCAAGCCUGCGAUCUCUAGCUGGUCUGAGAGGAUGGCCAGCCACACUGGAACUGAGACACGGUCCAGACUCCUACGGGAGGCAGCAGUGGGGAAUAUUGCACAAUGGGGGGAACCCUGAUGCAGCCAUGCCGCGUGAAUGAAGAAGGCCUUCGGGUUGUAAAGUUCUUUCGGUGAUGAGGAAGGCAGGUAUUUUAAUAGAAUACUUGAUUGACGUUAGUCACAGAAGAAGCACCGGCUAACUCCGUGCCAGCAGCCGCGGUAAUACGGAGGGUGCGAGCGUUAAUCGGAAUAACUGGGCGUAAAGGGCACGCAGGCGGAUUGUUAAGUGAGAUGUGAAAGCCCCGAGCUUAACUUGGGAAUUGCAUUUCAGACUGGCAGUCUAGAGUAUUUUAGGGAGGGGUAGAAUUCCACGUGUAGCGGUGAAAUGCGUAGAGAUGUGGAGGAAUACCGAAGGCGAAGGCAGCCCCUUGGGAAUAUACUGACGCUCAUGUGCGAAAGCGUGGGAGCA
RNAcentral lists this ribosomal RNA (745 nucleotides) under Pasteurellaceae bacterium I32. RNAcentral describes it as "bacterial SSU rRNA". It matches the Rfam family "Bacterial small subunit ribosomal RNA", at positions 35 to 770 of the family's 1533-position model. Lineage: Bacteria; Pseudomonadati; Pseudomonadota; Gammaproteobacteria; Pasteurellales; Pasteurellaceae. The record is from RNAcentral.